This 434-nucleotide ribosomal RNA is filed under the name uncultured bacterium. RNAcentral's name for it is "partial 16S ribosomal RNA". It matches the Rfam family "Bacterial small subunit ribosomal RNA", at positions 29 to 507 of the family's 1533-position model. The record is from RNAcentral.
AGCGAACGCUGGCGGCAGGCCUAACACAUGCAAGUCGAACGAACCGUUCGGGGUUAGUGGCGGACGGGUGAGUAACACGGGGGAACGUGCCCUUAGGUUCGGAAUAACUCAGGGAAACUUGUGCUAAUACCGAAUGUGCCCUUCGGGGGAAAGAUUUAUCGCCUUUAGAGCGGCCCGCGUCUGAUUAGCUAGUUGGGUGAGGUAAUGGCUCACCAAAGCGACGAUCAGUAGCUGGUCUGAGAGGAUGAUCAGCCACAUUGGGACUGAGACACGGCCCAAACUCCUACGGUAGGCAGCAGUAGGGAAUCUUGCGCAAUGGGCGAAAGCCUGACGCAGCCGUGCCGCGUGAAUGAUGAAGGUCUUAGGAUUGUAAAAUUCUUUCUCCGGGGACGAUAAUGACGGUACCCGGAGAAGAAGCCCCGGCUAACUUCGUG